UGAACAUCAUCCUCACAUUUUCUGAUUCUCCAGAAAACAAAGAAAAUCCCCAAUCAUGGCUAGCUCAUCUGUUCUUUUUGGUGGUUUGAAGUUUGGUCACUACUCUUCUAAUUCUAUGUGUGGUUGCCCAGAUUCUGGGAAGCUAAUUCUUGGACCAUCUCCAGGCUGGUUCACCGGUGCAGCCAGAACUUCAGGCUUUCAGACUCACUUCUGACAAUCUGGUUCAGUGAUUCAACCAGUCUAGAUGUGCUAAUCUCCCGUCCCUGAAGAACGUCAGAUAAUAAAUUAAGAUGUUCAUAAUCUCUCGGACGUUAUUAGUGAGCUCACUGCUGUGAGAAGUACAGUGAGUGACAUUCCUCAAGGAAAAGAUAGAGUUAUGACAACUAUCAAGAUCGACGGUAACUCUCUCUAUAUUUGAAUUUAUUCAAUACUUUCAUAAAUUUUCUUACUUUUCUUUUGAAUAUGUCAUUGAUUUUUUUAUGUUCUGUUUUUCUUUUCACACUCAUAUCACUGUCACUUUGAGUCUGUUUGACUCACAAGCUGUUAUUUUCACAAGAAGCUUGAAGGAUUCUGGGGAGAUUCAAGGGUUGUUGUUGCAAAUAGCAUAAAACCAAAGAUGGUAGAAGGACGUUGUUUUUAAAUGCCACAUCGGGAACACAUGUAUCUUUCGACAACGAAACUGAUGCAGAGAAUUCUACUUUUUACGAGCUGGUUUCCAAAGACCUAGGAACACCCAUGUUCCUUCAUUUCUUAGAGGCUAUGCAAAGGUUGAGCCUCUUACUAUAGCUGAGCUCAAUGAGUUCGUCAUCAUUUCGGAGCCUCAGAACAUUGAAUGGUGACUGAUAUCAAAAUGGAGAAAGACUGGUGUUACGUCUCUUGCUCUAGGUGCAUGAAGAAGCUCCACCGAACGGUCUCAUCCUUUACUUGCGUGAACUGAAAUAUCUUGGUUUGCUCAGAUACCAUGUGGAGAUGAGCAUUGCUGUUGACACUGUUGAAGGGUGUCUUUGUUGGAUUCGAUUAGUGGUGAGAUGACAAAACUACAUAACGUGAGGGCCUAUGAGGCUGGUAAUUUAAUUGUAGGAACAUCUCUAAGUGGUAUCGCCAUCAAGAAACCUCAGGCAUCAAAGUCUUUAAAGGUGAUGAAGAAGCUAAGGGUUGUGAUGCAGAUGGAGUACUUGCUAUUUCAUAAAUGAUUAUGUAUUAACGGUGGUUUUUAUUUUAAAAUAUGUUCUCUUAUGUAGUUUGGUAUGGUUUAUUAAAAGUCUAAAACUAUAAUAAAAAUGUUUUUUUGGAGAUU
Brassica napus (rape) is the source of this 1297-nucleotide long non-coding RNA. RefSeq lists it as uncharacterized. The transcript has 7 exons. The record is from RefSeq and is a predicted model, not a curated record. Lineage: Eukaryota; Viridiplantae; Streptophyta; Magnoliopsida; Brassicales; Brassicaceae.